Molecule: RNA transcript, 13187 nt
Organism: Nomascus leucogenys (northern white-cheeked gibbon)
Lineage: Eukaryota; Metazoa; Chordata; Mammalia; Primates; Hylobatidae
Gene: RIF1
Gene name: replication timing regulatory factor 1
Exons: 41
Source: RefSeq, a predicted model, not a curated record
UCUAGGAGGGAGCGCGCCGCACGCGUGAGUAAACAGCCGGAGCCGGGGAAAGUCGAGCUCUGGCAGCGUCCGGGUGCCGAGGGGCAGAGGCGGAGAGGACCCUGUCCUGAUCUUCCUAGGGUGGCCGACAUGACGGCCAGGGGUCAGAGCCCCCUCGCGCCGCUGUUGGAGACUUUGGAAGACCCUUCUGCCUCCCAUGGAGGGCAGACUGACGCUUACCUGACUUUGACCAGUCGUAUGACUGGAGAAGAAGGAAAAGAAGUAAUUACAGAAAUUGAGAAAAAACUUCCUCGGCUGUACAAAGUUUUAAAGACUCACAUUUCCAGUCAAAACUCGGAGCUGAGUAGUGCUGCUCUACAAGCCCUGGGGUUUUGCUUAUACAAUUCCAAAAUUACCUCAGAAUUAUCAGAGGCAAAUGCUCUAGAAUUGCUUUCAAAAUUGAAUGAUACCAUUAAGAGUUCAGACAAAAAUGUACGUACCAGAGCACUUUGGGUGAUAUCUAAGCAGACAUUUCCCUCUGAAGUGGUUGGCAAAAUGGUAUCCAGUAUAAUUGAUUCAUUAGAAGUGCUAUUUAACAAAGGAGAGACGCAUUCUGCUGUUGUUGAUUUUGAAGCAUUAAAUGUUAUCAUAAGGCUAAUUGAACAAGCCCCAAUUCAAAUGGGAGAAGAGGCAGUGAGGUGGGCAAAACUGGUCAUACCUUUAGUGGUUCAUUCAGCACAAAAGGUACAUUUGCGGGGAGCAACUGCUCUGGAGAUGGGAAUGCCAUUAUUGCUUCAGAAACAGCAAGAAAUAGCAUCUAUUACGGAGCAGCUUAUGACUACUAAAUUAAUCUCUGAACUUCAGAAGCUAUUUAUGAGUAAAAAUGAGACUUACGUGUUAAAAUUAUGGCCUUUGUUUGUCAAACUACUUGGAAGGACCUUGCAUCGAAGUGGGAGUUUCAUCAAUUCUCUGUUACAACUAGAAGAACUUGGAUUUCGUAGUGGAGCACCCAUGAUUAAAAAGAUAGCUUUUAUUGCUUGGAAGAGUUUAAUAGAUAAUUUUGCUUUAAAUCCAGAUAUUCUGUGUAGUGCAAAAAGACUCAAGUUGUUAAUGCAGCCUUUGAGUUCCAUCCAUGUGAGGACAGAAACUCUAGCAUUAACAAAACUAGAAGUCUGGUGGUAUUUACUGAUGAGACUUGGACCUCAUCUUCCUGCUAAUUUUGAACAGGUUUGUGUGCCUCUGAUUCAAAGUACAAUAAGCAUUGAUUCUAAUGCCUCACCUCAAGGCAAUUCGUGUCAUGUGGCUACAUCUCCAGGUUUAAAUCCUAUGACUCCUGUACACAAAGGUGCUUCCUCCCCGUAUGGAGCCCCGGGAACUCCCCGAAUGAACCUGAGUUCGAAUUUAGGUGGAAUGGCCACAAUCCCUUCCAUUCAACUUUUGGGACUUGAAAUGUUGCUUCAUUUCUUGUUGGGUCCAGAAGUCUUGAGUUUUGCUAAGCAAAAUAAACUUGUGCUGAGCUUAGAGCCACUGGAAUAUCCGUUAAUCAGCAGCCCUUCUUUUUUUUCCAAACAUGCAAAUACAGUUAUCACUGCUGUUCAUGAUAGCUUUGUUGCAGUUGGAAAAGAUGCCCCCGAUGUGGUUGUCAGUGCCAUCUGGAAGGAGCUAAUUAGCUUGGUGAAGUCAGUUACUGAAUCAGGUAACAAAAAAGAGAAACCAGGUUCUGAAGUUUUGACUCUCUUAUUAAAGUUUUUGGAAAGCAUAGUAAAGUCUGAAGUAUUUCCUGUAUCAAAAACGCUGGUCCUCAUGGAAAUUACAAUUAAAGGACUUCCUCAGAAAGUAUUAGGUUCACCAGCAUAUCAGGUUGCUAAUAUGGAUAUUCUUAAUGGAACUCCAGCUUUGUUCUUAAUUCAAUUAAUUUUCAACAAUUUCUUGGAAUGUGGUGUAUCAGAUGAAAGGUUCUUUCUCAGUUUGGAAUCACUUGUAGGCUGUGUUCUUUCUGGUCCAACUUCACCACUAGCUUUCAGUGACUCAGUUUUAAAUGUUAUUAAUCAAAAUGCAAAGCAGUUGGAAAAUAAGGAGCAUCUCUGGAAAAUGUGGAGUGUUAUAGUCACCCCAUUAACUGAAUUGAUUAAUCAGACCAAUGAAGUAAAUCAAGGUGAUGCCUUAGAACAUAAUUUUAGUGCCAUCUAUGGUGCAUUGACUUUACCAGUAAACCACAUUUUUUCAGAACAGAGAUUUCCAGUGACCACCAUGAAGACUUUGCUUAGAACUUGGUCAGAAUUAUAUAGAGCAUUUGCUCGUUGUGCUGCUUUGGUGGCAACAGCAGAAGAGAACUUGUGCUGUGAGGAACUUUCUUCUAAGAUAAUGUCCAGUUUGGAAGAUGAAGGCUUUUCUAAUUUGUUGUUCGUGGAUAGAAUUAUUCAUAUUAUUACUGUAAUGGUUGAUUGCAUUGACUUCUCACCAUAUAAUAUUAAAUAUCAGCCCAAAGUUAAAUCACCACAGAGACCUUCAGAUUGGUCCAAAAAGAAGAAUGAGCCCCUAGGGAAAUUGACUUCUUUAUUUAAACUUAUUGUGAAAGUGAUCUAUUCUUUCCACACUCUGAGCUUCAAGGAAGCACAUUCCGAUACCCUCUUCACUAUUGGCAACUCAAUCACCAGCAUUAUUUCCAGUGUACUUGGACAUAUUUCUUUGCCUUCUAUGAUCCGAAAAAUAUUUGCAACUUUAACAAGACCUCUGGCAUUAUUUUAUGAAAACUCAAAGCUUGAUGAAGUUCCUAAAGUAUAUAGUUGUCUGAACAACAAGUUAGAAAAGCUACUGGGAGAAAUUAUUGCUUGUCUGCAAUUCAGCUACACCGGAACUUAUGACAGUGAACUUCUUGAACAACUGUCCCCACUAUUAUGCAUAGUAUUUCUGCACAAGAAUAAACAGAUUCGAAAACAGAGUGCUCAGUUCUGGAAUGCCACUUUUGCUAAAGUGACGAUGUUGGUUUAUCCUGAAGAGUUAAAACCAGUACUAACACAAGCCAAACAAAAAUUUCUUCUCCUGUUGCCUGGUGUGGAAACUGUUGAAAUGAUGGAGGAAUCCAGUGGACCAUAUUCUGAUGGAACAGAAAAUUCACAACUAAAUGUGAAGAUAAGUGGCAUGGAGAGAAAAUCAAAUGGAAAAAGAGAUUCAUUUUUGGCACAAACAAAGAAUAAAAAAGAAAAUAUGAAACCAGCAGCCAAACUGAAACUUGAAUCUUCAUCUUUAAAAGUAAAGAGUGAAAUUCUUUUGGAAGAGGAAAAAUCUACUGACUUUGUGUUUAUACCUCCAGAAGGAAAAGAUGCAAAGGAAAGAAUAUUAACUGAUCAUCAAAAAGAAGUUCUCAAAACAAAGCGGUGUGAUAUUCCUGCCAUGUAUAAUAAUCUGGAUGUUUCCCAAGAUACCUUAUUUACUCAGGAUAGUCAGGAAGAGCCUAUGGAAAUUCCUACUUUAACCAGAAAACCAAAGGAGGAUUCUAAGAUGAUGAUUACGGAGGAGCAAAUGGACAGUGACAUUGUCAUUCCUCAAGAUGUCACGGAAGACUGUGGUAUGGAUGAACAUCUUGAAAAGGCCUCACUUUCAAAUAAUGAGUGUGGUUCUCUUGAUAAAACCAGUCCAGAAAUGUCGAACAGUAAUAAUGAUGACAGAAAAAAAGCUUUAAUUUCAUCAAAGAAAACAUCAAUUGAAUGUGCAUCUAGUACAGAAAAUUCUUGCGUUGUCAGCAGUAGUUCAGUUUCUAAUACCACUGUUGCUGGAACUCCCCCAUACCCUACAAGUCGGAGGCAAACCUUUAUUACUUUGGAGAAGUUUGAUGGUUCAGAAAACAGACCUUUUAGUCCAUCCCCCUUGAAUAAUAUUUCAUCAACUGUUACAGUGAAAAACAACCAGGAAACCAUGAUUAAGACAGAUUUUCUACCAAAAGCAAAGCAAAGAGAAGGGACUUUUUCAAAAUCUGAUUCUGAAAAAAUAGUGAAUGGAACUAAGAGAUCAAGCCGGAGAGCUGGUAAAGCUGAACAAACAGGGAAUAAAAGGUCUAAGCCCUUAAUGAGAUCUGAGCCGGAGAAAAAUACUGAGGAAUCUAUUGAAGGCAUUGUAGUCUUAGAAAAUAACCCACCUGGUUUGCUUAAUCAAACAGAAUGUGUGUCAGAUAAUCAGGUUCAUCUUUCUGAAUCUGCAGUGGAGCAUGACAAUACAAAGCUUAAAGCAACAACAAUGGAAAAUGCUGUAUUAUUGGAAACUAAUACUGUAGAGGAGAAAAAUGUAGAAAUUAAUUUGGAAUCCAAAGAAAAUACACCGCCAGUAGUAAUAUCAGCAGAUCAAAUGGUAAAUGAGGAUAGUCAGGUUCAGAUAACUCCAAAUCAGAAAACCCUUAGACGGUCUUCAAGGCGACGUUCAGAAGUAGUAGAGUCUACCACUGAAAGCCAAGAUAAGGAAAAUAAUCAUCAAAAAAAGGAACGACGUAAGGAAGAAGAAAAACCUCUUCAGAAGAGUCCAUUGCAUAUAAAAGAUGAUGUGUUACCUAAACAAAAACUGAUUUCUGAACAGACUCUACAGGAGAGUUUAAUUGAGAAAGGAAGUAAUUUACAUGAGAAGACUCUUGGGGAAACUAGUGCUAAUGCAGAAACUGAACAAAAUAAAAAAAAGGCAGACCCUGAGAACAUUAAGUCUGAGGGGGAUGGUACCCAGGACAUUGUAGAUAAGUCCUCUGAGAAACUAGUCAGAGGCCGAACACGAUAUCAAACAAGAAGAGCAUCUCAGGGUUUGCUUUCCAGCAUUGAAAACUCAGAAUCUGAUAGUUCGGAGGCAAAAGAAGAAGGUUCUAGGAAGAAGAGAUCUGGAAAAUGGAGAAACAAAAGCAACGAAAGUGUUGACAUUCAAGAUCAAGAAGAGAAAGUGGUGAAACAGGAAUGUAUAAAAGCUGAAAAUCAGUCACAUGAUUGUAAAGUAAGUUCUGAAGAAGAUGGAAGCAUAAAACCUCAGAUUUGUGAAAAACAAGAUGAAAGUAGUACUGUAAUAUGUCAGGAUUCUACAGUAACUUCAGAUUUGUUGCAAGUUCCUGAUGAUUUACCAAAUGCAUGUGAGGAAAAAAAUGAAACUAGCAAAUAUGCAGAAUAUUCCUUUACAAGUCUACCUGUGCCAGAAUCAAAUCUAAGGACUAGAAAUGCCAUUAAGAGAUUACAUAAGCGAGACUCUUUUGAUAAUUGUAGUUUGGGAGAAUCUUCAAAAAUAGGGAUGUCAGAUAUUUCUUCACUUUCAGAAAAAACUUUUCAAACACUUGAAUGCCAACACAAGAGAAGUAGGAGGGUGAGGAGAUCUAAAGGUUGUGAUUGCUGUGGGGAAAAAUCACAACCUCAGGAAAAGUCACUCGUCGGGAUAAAGAAUACAGAAAAUGAUGUAGAGAUUAGUGAAACAAAAAAGGCAGAUGUACAAGCACCUGUAAGCACAUCAGAAACUUCUCAAGCUAAUCCAUGUUCUGAAGGACAAUUUUUAGAUGAACAUCAUAGUGUGAAUUUUCAUUUGGGUCUCAAAGAGGAUAAUGAUACCAUUAAUGAUUCAUUAAUUAUUUCUGAAACCAAAUCAAAAGAAAACACUAUGCAAGAAUCUCUUCCUUCUGGAAUAGUAAACUUUAGAGAGGAAACUUGUGAUAUGGAUUCUAGUGAAGCAAUGUCUCUUGAAAGCCAAGAGUCACCUAAAGAAAAUUUUAAAACUGUUGGCCCAUGUUUAGGAGACUCGAAAAAUGUUUCACGGGAAUCUUUGGAGACAAAAGAAGAAAAACCAGAAGAAACCCCAAAAAUGGAACUGAGUCUAGAGAAUGUUACUGUUGAAGGAAAUGCAUGUAAAGUAACAGAAUCCAAUCCAGAGAAAGUAAAAACUAUGGAAUUGGAUGUAGGAAAUGAAGCUAGCUUCUAUGAACAAGAGAGAACCAAAAGUGGUAUUUCUGAAGAAGCAGCAAUGGAAAAUAAAAGAAAUGAUGACUCUAAAGCAGACACAGCUAAACUGAAUGCCAAAGAAGUAACAACUGAGGAAUUUAAUUCAGAUAUUAGUCUUUCUGAUAAUACUACACCUGUAAAAUUGAGUGCUCAAACUGAGAUUUCUGAACAAACAGCAACUGGGGAACUAGAUGGAGGAAAUGAUGUAUCUGAUCCAUACUCAUCUGAAGAAACGAAUACUGAAAUGAAAAAUUAUGAAGAAAUGAUGAUUGGCGAGGUGAAGGCUGAAACUGGCCAUGAUGGUGAAACAGAGAAUGAGGGCAUAACUACCAAAACCUCAAAGCCUGAUGAAGCUGAAACAAAAAUGUUGACUGCAGAAAUGGACAACUUUCUUUGUGACACAGUUGAAAUGAGCAUUGAAGAAGGAAUCAUUGACGCUAAUAAAACUGAAACAAAUACUGAGUGUAGUAAAUCUGAAGAAAAAUUAGAUAACAAUCAAAUGGUAAUGGAAAGUGAUAUUUUACAGGAAGAUCACCAUACUUCAGAGAAAGUGGAGGAACCAUCACAGUCUCUGACAUCUGGAACAGCUAUCUCUGAACUAAUAAUAGGAGACAAUAAUGCAUCUCCUCAAAAACAAAGGGAACUUGAUCCUUCACUUGUGUCAGCAAAUGACAGUCCUAGUGGCAUGCAGACACGCUGUGUCUGGUCUCCUUUGGCUUCUCCAUCUACGAGCAUUUUAAAGAGAGGACUAAAAAGAUCCCAAGAAGAUGAAAUCUCAUCACCUGUUAAUAAGGUUCGCCGUGUCUCCUUUGCAGAUCCAAUAUACCAAGCAGGAUUGGCAGAUGACAUUGAUAGACGGUGCUCUAUUGUUAGGUCCCAUUCUUCAAAUAGUUCUCCCAUAGGAAAAAGUGUUAAAACUUCUCCUACUGCACAAUCUAAGCAUAAUACCACUUCAGCCAAAGGAUUUCUGUCCCCAGGAUCACGUAGCCCUAAAUUUAAGAGCUCAAAGAAGUGUUUAAUUUCAGAAAUGGCCAGAGAAUCCAUACCAUGCCCAACAGAAAGUGUUUACCCAGCAUUGGUGAACUGUGUGGCACCAGUUGACAUCAUUUUACCUCAGAUUACAUCAAACAUGUGGGCGAGAGGCCUGGGACAACUCAUUAGAGCUAAGAAUAUAAAAACUAUUGGUGAUUUGAGUACUCUUACAGCAUCUGAAAUAAAAACUCUUCCUAUCCGUUCUCCAAAAGUGUCCAAUGUAAAAAAGGCUCUCAGAAUAUAUCAUGAGCAGCAGGUGAAGACUCGUGGACUAGAAGAGAUUCCAGUUUUUGAUAUUUCUGAAAAAACAGUAAAUGGAAUAGAAAAUAAAUCUCUGUCACCUGAUGAAGAAAGACUUGCCUCAGAUGUAAUUGAUCCUGUUGCUUUAGAAACUCCGUUAUCCAAAAACCUUGUGGCACAGAUUAGUGCUCUUGCUCUUCAGCUGGAUUCAGAAGAUCUUCAUAAUUAUUCAGGAAGCCAACUAUUUGAAAUGCACGAGAAACUAAGUAGUAUGGCAAACUCUGUAAUAAAAAAUCUACAGUCACGUUGGAGAUCACCAUCCCAUGAAAAUUCUAUUUAGUAUUUUCAGAGAAAAUUGAAGGUUUUUUAAAACAUCACUGGAUUUCUUGAUUGAGGAAACAAGUUCUGAAAUAAUAGCACAAUUUCAAAGAAGAGACUCUUUGCAAAGUUAACAUUUCAAACCCUGAAGGACAGUGACUUAUUAUUUUCUUGAAGAUGGCUCUUUGCAGCCUACGUGGUAGUGGAGAUAUAUACAAAGGACUUCCCUAGUAUCGUUGGACCAACAAGCACAAGCAGAUGACAGGAAGAUUAGAACAUUGGAUAUUGAUUGCCAGUUUUUAAGGAGUGAAGGGUGUGGGGGUUGCUUUCCCCAGGUUCUCUUUGUAUAACACCUGUGAGAUACAAAGUCGUGCCCGAAAGUCACUACGAGUGUCAUUCUUGGAAACGUGGGAGAUUAGGAAAUGACAUUGAAGAGGAAGAAUUGUUGAAAUAGUGAUUCUCAACGUGGGGUCCUUGGACAGCAAGGUCAGUAAUGAGAACUUGUUAAAAAUGCAAAUUCUCUGGCCCCCUCUAUAACAGACCUACAGUAUGAGAAACUAGAGCAGGACCCAGCAAUCUGGCUUCACAAACCCUGCACGUUAUUCUGAUGCGUGCUAAUGUUUUAGAAGCACUGCACUCAAGUACUGGAGAAACCUACAGACAGUGGAAAUGUGGACACUACAAGGUUGUUUGCUACUGAAACUGAAGUCCCCAUGCAAACCUCAAUCCCUGGGUAAUUUACAACCAUAUAUAAUGUCAUAGCGCACAAGCUUACAGGAAAUGGUUUACUAAAGUUUGCAGUUAAAGACUACAGUAAAACUAAAGAACAACAACGACAAAAAACGAAAAUUGGUAAAACAAAAAGCCAUUCUGGUGACACUUUCAUUUUUAAGUAAAUUGAUAAUCAAAUUGCCAGAACUACUAUUGGAUCAUAAUUGAUAUCGUUAUUCUUGAAGGAGGGGAUCAGGGAUUAUUUUUCCCAAGGUCUCUUUGUCCAAAUCUGACAGGGUAAAUUAGAACCUAAAGUCAUUGACACAAAAGCACAACAAAAUCAUAUUCAAGAAAGAGCCCCAUUGGACCUACUCUACCACCCCACACAUACCCGUCCUAAAUUUCAGGCAUAUCUAAAACAAAGAGACCUUGGGGGUAGUGGAUAGAGAGUAAGUUUGGAGAGAGAGAAGCAAAAGGAUGUUUUAUAGGAAAAUCUGUUACUUCUUGAUAUUAGAACUUUAUGGAUUAAAGCAACUUUGUUAUUAUGGGGUUAGGCUAGAAGUAGCCCAAAGGAAAAAAGGGUAAAUUUGCUAAAGAAAUUCACAAAAUUUGUCUUUAAAAAGUAGGAUUAAUAUGUAUUAUUUUAAAUCAUAAAAGUAGUUUUUAAAAUCAGUAAGUAGUUUUUUUCUUUUCUUGCCAAGUACCGAGCUAAUAUUUUCUUGAUUGUGUUUGACUCUCUCCAUCUCGGGAGUGACAGGUAAAGGGGUUCCCUUGCCCAUGUUUUCUUUGUAUAACACCUGUGCGAUGAGAAAGCAUCCAGAAAAACAACCAUGAGUAACAUUUCAUUUGUUGAGAGGUUUUAAGGGUAAGGUCAACUUCCUUGUUAAGAAAACACAGUCGUCCAAGGAGCCAGAAGUUAUAUGCUGACAAAAUGCCACCAACUACUUUAGUGGAAGCUGUUGUUGGGAUGGGGAAUCUGCACCUUCUAGAGAAGCAGGGACCUCAGCUGCUGGGGAAAGGCUGUCAGUUAUCCAUGUUAUUUUUUUUCAUUUUUGUGAGUAUGGUGCCUCCUGAACAAUCACAUGAGGAUUUAAGACUGUUAGAACUCAGUGUUGUUAUCCACACAAACGGAAAAACUCAUUUUUAAAAAAUGAUUGAAAAUAUCAGAUAAAAAAUCGAAAUUAACUGUAUUAUGGAAAUGGUGUUAGGCUAGAAGUAGCCCAAAGGAAAAAAGGAUAAGUUUGCUAAAGAAAGAAAUUCACAAAAUUUAAGUUGUCUUUAGAAAAUAGGAUUAAUAUGUAUUAUUUUAAAUCAUGAAAUAGUUUUUAAAAUCAGUAAGUAGUUUUUUUCUUUUCUUGCCCAAGUACCGAGCUAAUAUUUUCUUGAUUGUGUUUGACUCUCUCCAUCUCGGGAGUGACAGGUAGAGGGGUUCCCUUGCCCAUGUUUUCUUUGUAUAACACCUGCGUGAUGAGAAAGCAUCCAGAAAAACAACUAUGAGUAACAUUUCAUUUGUUGAGAGGUUUUAAGGGUAAGGUCAACUUCCUUGUUAAGAAAACACAGUCGUCCAAGGAGCCAGAAGUUAUAUGCUGACAAAAUGCCACCGACUACUUUAGUGGAAGCUGUUGUUGGGAUGGGGAAUCUGCACCCUCUAGAGAAGCAGGGACCUCAGCUGCUGGGGAAAGGCUGUCAGAGUUAUCCAUGUUACUUUUUUUUUUUUUUUCUUUUUUGUGAGUACCAUGCCUCCUAAACAAUUACAUGAGGAUUUGAGACAGAACUCAGUGUUGUUAUCCACACAAACGGAAAAACUCAUUAUUUUAAAGAUUGAAAAUUGAAAAUACCAGAUGAAAUAAAAAAUUGAAAUUAACUGUAUUAUAGAAAUGGGAAUGGUGUUAGGCUAGAAGUAGCCCAAAGGAAAAAAAGAUAAAUUUGCUAAAGAAAUUCACAAAAUUUGUCUUUAAAAAGUAGGAUUAAUACGUAUUAUUUUAAAUCAUGAAAGUUUCCAAAAAUCAUUAAAUAAGUAGUUUUUUUCUUUUCUUGCCAAAGUACCGAGCUAAUAUUUUCUUGAUUGUGUUUGACUCUUUCCAUCUCAGGAGUGACAGGUAAAGGGGUUCCCUUGCCCAUGUUUUCUUUGUAUAACACCUGUACAAUAAGAAAGCAUCCAGAAAAACAACCAUGAGUAACAUUUCAUUUCUUGGGACGUUUUAAGGGUGAGGAAAAAACACAGUCAUCCAAGGAGCCAGAAGUUAUAUGCUGACAAAAUGCCAUCGACUACUUUAGUGGAAGCUGUUGUUGGGAUGGGGAAUCUGCACCCUCUAGAGAAGCAGGGACCUCAGCUGCUGAGGAAAGUCUGUCAGAGUUAUAUCCAUGUUAUUUUUUUUUUCAUUUUUGUGAGUACAGUGCCUCCUAAACAAUCACAUGAGGAUUUGAGACUGUUAGAACUCAGUGUUGUUAUCCACACAAAUGGAAACAUUCAUUAUUUUUAAAACAUGUUUGUAAAUAUCAGAUGAAGUAAAAAAAUGACAUUAACUGUAUUAUAGAAAUGGGAAGGUAUAUCCUUUUGUAAUAUAAGAUAUAUUAGAAGCAAAGGAAGGGAAAUGGGCUUAAAACAAAAAUAAAUGUAAAGAUCAGUUUAAUUCUGAAGUUGUGGCAUUUUUCCCCUUUCUUUCCAAAAUACCGAGCUAAGGUUUUCUUGAUUGUGUUUGACUCUCUGCAUCUCAGGAGUGAUGGGGAUUGGAAUUCCUGUCCCCAGGUUUUCUUUGUAUAGCACCUGUAUGAUGAGAAAGCAUCCAGAACAAAAAAAGCAAUCAGUCAUUUUCCCCCUGCUUUGGAGCAGUUGGGAGUGGGAAGGAAGGGAGGAAGAGAGUGAGUUAGAGGAAGGGAAAUGCCAGAAGCUUUUAGACUCAACCUCUUUGAACCUAAAGACAUCUUCAAAAGCAAAGGAAUGCAGGAAAGAGCAGCAAAAACUAAGAAAUGGGAAAAGAAAGGUUGUUAUUUUCAUUGUUUGAACUAAUCUCUGCAGCACUGAGCAACCAUGAAAGAGAGCAAUUAGUCUUUCCCACCUUGUUACAAGGAGGGAAAAAAGUAGAAACAGACAAGAGACAGAAAUAAAACCAAGGAAGUUACUUUUGAUUUGAAAAUGCUAUUAAUCACAUAAGGAUAUUUGGGGUUUACAAACAUUGUAUACAUGGAGACACAUACACACAACUCUUCUUUUGUUCACUUUCAAAAGAAGUCAAAGUAUUUAAUUUUUAGUUUGGGUGAACAUAUUGAGAACAACGAUGUUUAAGGCAAAUGGAGAGCAAUGAUAAGGUGCUAAAAAAAAAGAAACUUCAAAAUAUCUGUACAAAUAACAGUAGAGAUAGAAAAAGUUAGAAUAAGAAAUGAGGCUAAUAGUCAGGUCUUUGCAAAAUACAUUUGUUUAAGCUUUAGAUUCGGAUCAAGUUUGCCAAAGCAGUAUAAAUGUGGAUGCUUAGACACUGAGAAUGUUACAUUUGUAAAAGCAGGAAUAUAAUACUGAACACUUUUUUUAUUAAGUUAAAUGGUUAUAUUAAUGUUUUACCAAAAUGGGGAAAACUGAUUCAUAGGAAAUGGCAGCAUUAAGUUGGGAAAAAGACAGGUCAAAUUUUUUAUUGGGAUGAGUUGAUUAGAUUUUAAAAAUCUAGCCAUUAAUCUUUUUAAAAAUUUUUUUAAAUAGUUAAAGGGAUUUUUUAUUUUUAAAUACCGAACUAAAGUUUUCUUGAUUGUGUUUGACUCUCUCCAUCUCUGGAGUGAUGGGGAUUGGAAUCCCUUUUCCAACGUUUUCUUUAUACAACACCUGUAUGACACAAGAAAGCAUCCAGAAAAAACAAGAGCAGUCAAAACAGCCCUUUCAUCUACCUUGUGGGGAACCUGGUAUACAACUACAGACAUCAGACAGAAAAGACAAAUUGAACAAGUCAACCUCUCUGUUCAGGCACAGAUCUGGUUUUAAUGAUGAACUCUACAAAGCUAAUUCUGGAAAUGAAAAAGUACAAUGGAAAGCAUUAAGUUAUAUAACGCUGAGGAAUCUUGUUAAUUCUACUUACAGUAUUUCAAAUCUAGUCAAGUCACUGAAAAUGUUAAAGUAUAAUCGGAAAUGUGUCUUUCCGAUAGCCGUUCCUGGUGAGACAUCCUCUUUAUAUAAAACCUGGGCAUUCAGAAUCAGGACAGUGUUACACAGAAGAAAGGAAAACCCAGCAGUUCUGGAGAAAGACUAGGACACAUGACUUCUGUGAAAACAACACACUAGACGAUGUUCCCAGGCAAGUGCCAGAGCACCACACCUGACAUUUCCAUGUCAGUAUCACCGACUCAGACCAAUUAUACAACAUGGAUCACUUUCCAGAUCUUAAGAUUUCUUCUAAGAUUGUGGUACCGUACUAACACAGGAUGAGAACAGCCAGGAAAUGUUGAUUAACAACAAAACCCUCCCAUACGUAACACAAAAUCCAUUAAAGAAAUGCAAAGUCAGUCAGUUCUCUGGGGGAGGGAUAACAAAAGAAAUCACAAUGCCAAAAAGAAAUCCAUCUUCUUGGAGCAAGACAACACAUGUUACUGCUCUGGGAUUAAAAAAUUUAAAAAUAAAAGUUACGUUGUUAGCAGUUUUAAAGUUAUUUCAAAUGGUCUCUGGAGAGAUGAUUUUGGAGCAAAGUAUGGGGAAUUUUAGCAAAUCACUGCUAGUAUUACUGAGGAGGUUAGAUGUUAAUUGUCUGUAUCAAUAUAAGGCUAGUAUAUUUUUAAAGAGGAGAGUGAAAUGACUAGGUUAGCAUUAAAUGCAAAAUAAAUAGUAAAUAUACCGAGCUGAAAUUCUUUUGAUUUUCUUUUACACGCAGUAUUUCUGGCGUGUCUUGAACAACUGUAAUUUUUCCUUUACUGUUUUUAAGGUCACACUGGUAUUGGAGCUAUGAAGAAAGAGUAAACAUCUUGUUAAGAUUUCAA